Molecule: long non-coding RNA, 779 nt
Organism: Harmonia axyridis
Lineage: Eukaryota; Metazoa; Arthropoda; Insecta; Coleoptera; Coccinellidae
Exons: 2
Source: RefSeq, a predicted model, not a curated record
ACACAGUUCCAAGUAAAAAUUGAAAUUUCUCUUAUAUAAUCAUUUCUUUAAAGUGUGUUUAAAGUUUACAAAGACUGCAAAUGGAUACCAGGAAAGUACCAACUCCCAAUUCUGGCGUUCAUCCCAACAAAGAUAACGAAGAUGUCUUACGUGAGCGAUAUGGGGUUCGAGAUCGAUUUUGAAAACGAAUACGAUAAUCUACUAAGGGCGGAAGAGGCCUAAUUAGCUGCUCUAGCUCUAAAAAUCAGAGAGCUGAAAAAGACUAUAGAGCACCUAAACAGAAUUAUGGCGGAGGUGAUUGUCGAUAUGAGCCAAAUAGAAGAAGUCAUACGCCCAGACAAGCAGAAAAGAGAAAGGCCAAGGGACGAAAACUCAUCGACUGACAGGAAGGAUAAACUUCCUCACCCCCAUAAAGAUAAUAUAAUAUAUGUUGAAAACACCGAAUUGUGAUAACAUCCAAAAUGCAGAAACACCAAUAAGGAAAAUUGAAAACCAGAGAAGCUCCAGUUACGGACAGAAUAAGAAAUUGUAUGAUAAAGAAGAUGCCCAGAAAAAAAUAUCAGCACUAACCACUAUAGCCAAUGUAGCGAUGGGAACAGACUAAUAUUGAAAGAAGAUGAAAAACUACAUAAGUAAAUUUAUUCAAUAUGCCAGGGAAAGAUAAAGGUUUUCCAUAAAACUGCAGGACAAUACGUCUAGUUGCAGCCCCUUGAAGAAUAGUUGAGAGAAUCAUUGCAAAAGGAGUAAACGUAGAAACAGAAGCACUGAAUCUGAUAUCA